UAAUAAAAUAAUUAUGUUUUUAUAAUUUUAAUAUAAAUUUAUUUUACAUAUAAAUUUUAGUAUAUAAUUUUAAUUAUUUAAAUAAUAAUUAAUUAAAUUUGGUAGUAAUUAAUAUUAAAAAUUUAAGAAAUUAAGAUUUAGAAAUAUUAAAAUUAAUAACUAAUUUUGUGCCAGCAGUUGCGGUUAAACAAAAGUUAAAUUAAAAUAUUUCAGUUUAUAAUAAAUAAAUAAUAUUUUAAAAUAAAUAUUGAAUUAUUAAGUGAAAUUUUAAUUUAAUUAAAUUUUAUUAAUAAAUUAUGAUUUAAUAAAUUUUAAUAUAAACUAGGAUUAGAUACCCUAUUAUUAAAAAUUUAAUAUAUAAUACUAAAAUAAUAGAUAAUAAUUUAUUGAAACUUAAAUAAUAUGGCGGUAUUUUAGUUCAUUUAGAGGAAUCUGUCUAAUAAUUGAUAAUCCACGAAUAAAUUUACUUAAUUUAUAAUUUUGUAUAUCAUUGUUAAAAAAAUAUUUUUUAGUAAAAAUAAUAUUUUAAGUUUUAAAAUAAAAGUUAAUUCAGAUCAAGAUGCAGAUUAUAAUUAAGAAUAUGAUGGAUUACAAUAAAAAUAUAUUUAAAUGAAUAAUUUUAUUGAAAGAUAAAUUUGAAGGUGGAUUUAAAUGUAAUUUUAAUUAAUUUAUUAAAAUGAUUAAAAAUUAAAAUAUGUACAUAUUGCCCGUCACUUUCAUUUAAAAAUUGAAAUAAGUCGUAACAAAGUAGAGGUACUGGAAAGUGUUUCUAGAAAGAA
This 779-nucleotide non-coding RNA is filed under the name Melitaea ambigua. The record is from RNAcentral. Lineage: Eukaryota; Metazoa; Arthropoda; Insecta; Lepidoptera; Nymphalidae.